GUGCUCACUUCGGCAGCACUUAUACUAAAACUGGACCGAUACAGAGAUUAGCAUGGUCCCUGUACAAGGAUGACAUGCAAAUCCAUGAACCCUCCAUAUUUUUU
This is a small nuclear RNA of Cercocebus atys (sooty mangabey), 104 nucleotides long. Lineage: Eukaryota; Metazoa; Chordata; Mammalia; Primates; Cercopithecidae. The record is from Ensembl.